This 443-nucleotide ribosomal RNA is filed under the name uncultured bacterium. RNAcentral describes it as "partial 16S ribosomal RNA". It matches the Rfam family "Bacterial small subunit ribosomal RNA", at positions 338 to 795 of the family's 1533-position model. The record is from RNAcentral.
CCUACGGGAGACAGCAGUGGGGAAUAUUGGGCAAUGGGCGCAAGCCUGACCCAGCAACGCCGCGUGAAGGAAGAAGGCUUUCGGGUUGUAAACUUCUUUUCUCAGGGACGAAGAAAGUGACGGUACCUGAUGAAUAAGCCACGGCUAACUACGUGCCAGCAGCCGCGGUAAUACGUAGGUGGCAAGCGUUAUCCGGAUUUACUGGGUGUAAAGGGCGUGUAGGCGGGGAAGCAAGUCAGAUGUGAAAACCACGGGCUCAACCUGUGGCCUGCAUUUGAAACUGUUUUUCUUGAGUACUGGAGAGGCAGACGGAAUUCCUAGUGUAGCGGUGAAAUGCGUAGAUAUUAGGAGGAACACCAGUGGCGAAGGCGGUCUGCUGGACAGCAACUGACGCUGAGGCGCGAAAGCGUGGGGAGCAAACAGGAUUAGAUACCCUGGUAGUC